Long non-coding RNA from Scophthalmus maximus (turbot), 1434 nucleotides. RefSeq lists it as uncharacterized. The record is from RefSeq and is a predicted model, not a curated record. NCBI's taxonomy places the organism in Eukaryota, Metazoa, Chordata, Actinopteri, Pleuronectiformes, Scophthalmidae. The transcript is spliced from 3 exons.
CCGAUUUGUAUUAUAAGCAUGACGACGUUUCUGGAUGAAUUAUUGCUUAAAGGCAAUUUUUUAUAUCUUUAGCCUUUUAAUGCUAUUUGCUGUAUAUGUAGAUAUUUGUGCUUUUUCUCUGAAAUCGCUUCACAAAUAGAUUGUUUUCACAUCAGAAUAAUAAUGUCAACAAGUCAGCCUCCACACACACACACCCUCCAACCCAAAGCCCUCCAAGAGCUAAGUCCAAAAAAGAGUCCCGUGUGUCAACACUUGCUCACCGAGCAGAGUAAACCAAAUUACAACACAAUGCAAAGAAAUGAAUUUGAAAUACCAGAAAACACUUGACUGUCUUUUCUAAUCCAAGCGACAUUGUUGGAGUCAGAAGCUCGCACUCAACUUUGUUGUCCAGCGGACAGAAGGAAAUUCAUAAUCGUUAAUAAAACAAAACAAUUUUUGUUCACUAGAUUGUAAAAUUUUGAACAUUGAACGUGAAGUACCACAGCAAUCUUUUUCCAAACGAAGCACAUUCCUCUUAUGUUAUCGUUCAAUCACAUCCGCUGUCAAUACUCACUUGGGUAAGUUGGGCUCAUGUUUUUCUUGAUUACUAACAUAAAGAGAGCUUAAUGAGAAACUGUGUAUAACUAGAAAGUCCAAAUUACAUAACUGAAUAAAUAAUAAUAAACACAAUGCAUCAUAAAAUUAGUUUGCCAUUCACACGUCCCUGUUCAUUUGUCCAUCAAAAGCCAUUAAAGAUUCCUUGAUACCAAAGCAUCUCUCACUGAAAAGAAUUUCUCAAUUUUUCCAUCUCUUCUUUCUUGUAGUAAUAUGAGAUGGAGAGAUACAUGGGUCACAAACUGUCAUGAUUCUGCCCCACGCACACUUGAACUUAAAUGUAUUUUGGUUGUGGACUCUUUUUUUUUCUCUGCGUUUGCUUUAAGAUUAUAUUCUGUAGUUUUCCUCAUGUCUAGGUUUUAGUAAAGUUACCGUGGUUACCCCCUGUUUGUUUAUGUCGAGUUUGUCAUUUCCUGUUAUUACUUUGAAGUCACGUUCCUCUUGUCUCUGCACUUCCUGUCUCUUUCCAAUGGGACUCACCUGGUGUGUUGGGUCUCUGUGCUCGCCGUCCUCGGGUCAGUUCGUCCUGUUUGCAACCGGUCGGGGAUGUCUGUCGUUUCUUGUUCCCCGCAUUGUUGUUUUUUUUAAUCUCCAGGUGAUUUUUGGUUAUCUUUACUUCCCGAGACUCAGCUGAUAGACACUGAAGCAUGACCUGCCAUCAGCAAUGGUACGAUACGUACAGUACAGUAAAGCAUGAUACUGAUUCCCAGCAGGUCGUCGUAGAAGAUGUCUUCGUCGUGCACCUCGAGCCGCAGGACGCCAUUCUCCUGGGCCUUGAAGUGGCUGAACUCCUCCGUCCACCAGGGGUUUGCGUUGUUGUGGUUGACGGACGUCUCACCC